GCUGGGCACAGUGGUGCCUGUAGUCCAGCUACUUGGGAGGCUGACACAGGAGGAUCACUUGAGUCCAUGUGUUCUGGGCUGUAGUCUCCACUAUGCCAAUAGGGUGUCUGUACUAAGUUCCUCCCAGGAGGAGCGGGGGACCACCAGAUUGCCUAAGGAGGGGCAAACUGGCACAAGUCGGAAACAGAGCAGGUGAAAACUCCUGUGCUGAUCAGUAGUGGGAUUAUGCCUGUGAGUAACCACUACACUCCAGCCUGGGCAACACAGCAAGACCCCGUCUCU
Molecule: signal recognition particle RNA, 282 nt
Filed under: Microcebus murinus (gray mouse lemur)
Lineage: Eukaryota; Metazoa; Chordata; Mammalia; Primates; Cheirogaleidae
Description: Metazoan signal recognition particle RNA (ENSMICG00000035774.2)
Rfam family: Metazoan signal recognition particle RNA
About the family: The signal recognition particle (SRP) is a universally conserved ribonucleoprotein. It is involved in the co-translational targeting of proteins to membranes. The eukaryotic SRP consists of a 300-nucleotide 7S RNA and six proteins: SRPs 72, 68, 54, 19, 14, and 9.
Source: RNAcentral